AGUGAACGCUGGCGGUAGGCCUAACACAUGCAAGUCGAACGGCAGCACAAUAAGAGCUUGCUCUUACGGGUGGCGAGUGGCGGACGGGUGAGGAAUACAUCGGAAUCUACUUUUUCGUGGGGGAUAACGUAGGGAAACUUACGCUAAUACCGCAUACGACCUACGGGUGAAAGCAGGGGAUCUUCGGACCUUGCGCGAUUGAAUGAGCCGAUGUCGGAUUAGCUAGUUGGCGGGGUAAAGGCCCACCAAGGCGACGAUCCGUAGCUGGUCUGAGAGGAUGAUCAGCCACACUGGAACUGAGACACGGUCCAGACUCCUACGGGAGGCAGCAGUGGGGAAUAUUGGACAAUGGGCGCAAGCCUGAUCCAGCCAUACCGCGUGGGUGAAGAAGGCCUUCGGGUUGUAAAGCCCUUUUGUUGGGAAAGAAAAGCAGCAGGUUAACACCCCGCUGUUCUGACGGUACCCAAAGAAUAAGCACCGGCUAACUUCGUG
Molecule: ribosomal RNA, 492 nt
Filed under: uncultured bacterium
Lineage: Bacteria
Description: partial 16S ribosomal RNA
Rfam family: Bacterial small subunit ribosomal RNA
Source: RNAcentral